RNAcentral lists this ribosomal RNA (465 nucleotides) under uncultured bacterium. RNAcentral's name for it is "partial 16S ribosomal RNA". It matches the Rfam family "Bacterial small subunit ribosomal RNA", at positions 28 to 507 of the family's 1533-position model. The record is from RNAcentral.
GACGAACGCUGGCGGCGUGCUUAACACAUGCAAGUCGUACGGGAAGGCCCUUUCGGGGGUACACGAGUGGCGAACGGGGGAGUAACACGUGAGUAACCUGCCCACAACUUUGGGAUAACGCUAGGAAACUGGUGCUAAUACUGGAGAUGUGCUCCUGCUGGAUGGUGGGGGUUGGAAAGCUGCGUCGGUUGUGGGUGGACUCGCGGCCUAUCAGCUUGUUGGUGGGGUAGUGGCCUACCAAGGCGGCGACGGGUAGCCGGCCUGAGAGGGUGACCGGCAACAUUGGGACUGAGAUACGGCCCAGACUCCUACGGGAGGCAGCAGUGGGGAAUAGUGCACAAUGGGCGCAAGCCUGAUGCAGCACCGCCGCGUGCGGGAUGACGGCCUUCGGGUUGUAAACCGCUUUCAGCAGGGACGAAGCUUUUUGUGACGGUACCUGCAGAAGAAGCACCGGCUAACUACGUG